This 390-nucleotide ribosomal RNA is filed under the name Triticum aestivum (bread wheat). RNAcentral describes it as "partial small subunit ribosomal RNA". Lineage: Eukaryota; Viridiplantae; Streptophyta; Magnoliopsida; Poales; Poaceae. The record is from RNAcentral.
AUGGUACAAUGGCGUCUUACUAGUUUUUAUGGUCAUCUCAACUGGAGUGAUCGCUACUUAUCUUGGGAUGAUAUUCGUAACUUGCACAAUAAAGGUGAUCACCCUUGGGUGGUUUUGGGAGACUUUAAUGAAAUUCUUCUUUCUUCAGAAAAAGAGGGAGGCAAUGCGAGACCUAAUGCAAUGACCAUAGAAUUUCGUAAUUUUCUUGAGUGCGGCUUGAAAGACAUGGGAUGUAUUGGAGAUCUUUUCACUUGGAGGAGGGGCGAUAUUAGGGAGAGGCUUGAUCGAGAAGUUUGUAAUGUGGAGUGGGCGAACAAAUUUCCUCGAUCUACGAUUAUAAAUGAGGAACACGUACACUCUGAUCAUCGCCCCCUCAUUCUGGAUACAUAA